Molecule: antisense RNA, 69 nt
Filed under: Amycolatopsis rifamycinica
Lineage: Bacteria; Bacillati; Actinomycetota; Actinomycetes; Pseudonocardiales; Pseudonocardiaceae
Description: Aspks sRNA
Rfam family: ASpks TB sRNA
Source: RNAcentral
CUUGAGGGAGCCGAGCCACAGGGGUGUUUCGCGGUGCUGGCCGUACGUGGCCAGCAGCGCGUGGGCCUC